This 257-nucleotide unclassified non-coding RNA is filed under the name plant metagenome. Its description in RNAcentral is "partial contains small subunit ribosomal RNA, internal transcribed spacer 1, and 5.8S ribosomal RNA". The record is from RNAcentral.
UUUCCGUAGGUGAACCUGCGGAAGGAUCAUUAACGAGUUAGGGUCUUCUAGGCCCGACCUCCCAACCCUUUGUUUACUGAACCAUUGUUGCCUCGGUGGGUCCGUCUUACGACCGCCGGGGGAUCGCCGCGAGGCGCCCCCUGGCCAGCGCCCACCGAUAGCCCAACCUUUAAAACCCUUUGUGAAUCGUGUCUUAUGUCUAAAUUUAUGAUUAAACAAACAAAACAAAACUUUCAACAACGGAUCUCUUGGUUCUG